CCUACGGGUGGCAGCAGUGAGGAAUAUUGGUCAAUGGACGAGAGUCUGAACCAGCCAAGUAGCGUGAAGGAUGACUGCCCUAUGGGUUGUAAACUUCUUUUAUAUGGGAAUCAAACGUUCCACGUGUGGGAUUUUGUAUGUACCAUAUGAAUAAGGAUCGGCUAACUCCGUGCCAGCAGCCGCGUUAAUACGGAGGAUCCGAGCGUUCUCCGGAUUUAUUGGGUUUAAAGGGAGCGUAGGUGGAUUGUUAAGUCAGUUGUGAAAGUUUGCGGCUCAACCGUAAAAUUGCAGUUGAAACUGGCAGUCUUGAGUACAGUAGAGGUGGGCGGAAUUCGUGGUGUAGCGGUGAAAUGCUUAGAUAUCACGAAGAACUCCGAUUGCGAAGGCAGUUCACUGGACUGCAACUGACACUGAGGCUCGAAAGUGUGGGUAUCAAACAGGAUUAGAUACCCCUGUAGUC
Molecule: ribosomal RNA, 460 nt
Filed under: uncultured bacterium
Lineage: Bacteria
Description: partial 16S ribosomal RNA
Rfam family: Bacterial small subunit ribosomal RNA
Source: RNAcentral